This 464-nucleotide ribosomal RNA is filed under the name Vreelandella stevensii. Its description in RNAcentral is "partial 16S ribosomal RNA". It matches the Rfam family "Bacterial small subunit ribosomal RNA", at positions 338 to 795 of the family's 1533-position model. The record is from RNAcentral. Lineage: Bacteria; Pseudomonadati; Pseudomonadota; Gammaproteobacteria; Oceanospirillales; Halomonadaceae.
CCUACGGGAGGCAGCAGUGGGGAAUAUUGGACAAUGGGGGCAACCCUGAUCCAGCCAUGCCGCGUGUGUGAAGAAGGCCCUCGGGUUGUAAAGCACUUUCAGUGAGGAAGAACGCCUGGUGGUUAAUACCCAUCAGGAAAGACAUCACUCACAGAAGAAGCACCGGCUAACUCCGUGCCAGCAGCCCGGUAAUACGGAGGGUGCGAGCGUUAAUCGGAAUUACUGGGCGUAAAGCGCGCGUAGGUGGCUUGAUAAGCCGGUUGUGAAAGCCCCGGGCUCAACCUGGGAACGGCAUCCGGAACUGUCAAGCUAGAGUGCAGGAGAGGAAGGUAGAAUUCCCGGUGUAGCGGUGAAAUGCGUAGAGAUCGGGAGGAAUACCAGUGGCGAAGGCGGCCUUCUGGACUGACACUGACACUGAGGUGCGAAAGCGUGGGUAGCAAACAGGAUUAGAUACCCGGGUAGUC